AUGGACAACACAAGGCCUCCUUUCUACUUUUCUUUCAUUUUUUUUCUUUUCUCUUUUCCUUUGUUUUCCUUUAGGAGCUCUUUGAAGUUAAGGGGAAAAAAUCAGAGUUUAUUCACAUUUAUGAAUGAGACUACUUGUCAUACUAAUCUUCACAAUAAUAUAAAUGUCUUGGUUUCCAAUGAACAGGAGGCUGCUCCUCCUGAGGAGGUCCACCCCCAGUACACACCCUUGCCUUCUGGAUCCAGAGAACUCACCAGUCACCGAGGUAGGAACUCGGCUUUCUGCUAUUCUCAGUGUUUGUAGCCUGGAUACUUGGCUAUGCAGAACUGGUAGGCUCUGUGGUCCUUACUGUGUCUGUCCUGUGACAAGGAGCCUAGUGCUUUUUAGGCUUUUGGUAGGAAAUCUAUACUGUCAAACCUAAAGAGUUUAACUUGUAUGAACAGGGGAGACAUAUAAAACCAUGGUAUAAUUUUGUGAUCCCCUUUUAAAAAGAAAGAUUAUGGUAUCUAACAAUUACUUAGAAUACCAUUCAAUACAGUAAUAGUAAUGGAGAGACAUUGGGAAACUCAGUAGUAUUUGUUAAAUAGCAAUGUGUGAAAAUAUAAGAGUUAAAAUGUGUAAUUUCAAAGAGAAUGGACUCUAUAUUACAGCCCAAAGGAAUUUCAGUUUGCCUGGCAAGUGUGUAGUUCUUUUAGUACUGAAACCCUGUUGCCAUCUCUGACAUCUUAAUGUUUCAAAUACAAGCAGAAUACUGACAUAGAAUAAUGUUUGCAAAAGUCUUGUCCCUUAACCAGUUUCUGGGGCCAAGGAAUAUGUCAGUUGGGAUUGCUGGGGGCAAAAAGAGGCUACAUGCUCUCACCUAUUUACGGUUCUAUCCUGAUCUUAAGACCAGAUCUCUGCUUCUUAACUCUGAAUCUGUCCUUCAAGGUUAAAGAAGGACAGGCUUGGAAGAGGGACGUUGGGUACUUUAAAUACUGUUUCCUCCAGUAUGAAGUCCCAUAGGGGUCACUGAAUGACUACUAGCUUGCUUGGCCAUCUUUGUGCUGUGGCAUGGAUGGAAAAAAAGGCGAUGGAGAAGCUUCAAAAGUGCCAGAAGCUUAUGGACUGUAUGAAUAGGAUAUUAAUAGUCUGCUAGAAGUGAUAAAGAGAGGCAUGUAGACCUUCAGGAACCUGUGACUUGGACCUGGCUUGAGUGGCCAACAUGUGGGCAUCAACAAAGCUCUUUUAAAAAUAAAUUUUGACCAAAUGAUAGGUUGAUUGUAAUUUCCUUCAUCAAGUAUCAGCUUUGUGCAAAUGGAUUUAGCUCAGUCAGGUGGAAUCGACUACUACUACUGGGACCAGAGGAAUGAACCAAUCUCUGUUAUAGAUUGUUGUGUUAGAAUGAUGGCUCUUCAAGCAACCAGAGCUUCCAGGGACUAAGCCCCUACCCAAAGACUAUACAUGGACUGACCCUGGACUCUGACCUCAUAGGUAGCAAUGCAUAUCCUAGUAAGAGCGCCAGUGGAAGGGGAAGCCCUGGGUCCUGCUAAGACUGAACCCCCAGUGAACUAG
This 1551-nucleotide long non-coding RNA is filed under the name Rattus norvegicus (Norway rat). RNAcentral's name for it is "long non-coding RNA NONRATT032126". Lineage: Eukaryota; Metazoa; Chordata; Mammalia; Rodentia; Muridae. The record is from RNAcentral.